This 253-nucleotide ribosomal RNA is filed under the name uncultured bacterium. Its description in RNAcentral is "partial 16S ribosomal RNA". It matches the Rfam family "Bacterial small subunit ribosomal RNA", at positions 524 to 776 of the family's 1533-position model. The record is from RNAcentral.
GACGGAGGAGGCAAGCGGUAUCCGGAGUUAUUGGGCGUAAAGGGUACGUAGGCGGCUGGUCAAGUCUGGGGUCAAAGGUCACAGCUCAACUGUGGGAAGGCCCUGGAAACUGACCGGCUAGAGUGAGGUAGGGGUUGCGGGAAUUCCCGGUGUAGCGGUGAAAUGCGUAGAGAUCGGGAAGAACACCUGAGGCGGAAGCGCGCAACUGGGCCUCAACUGACGCUGAGGCCCGAAAUCUAGGGGAGCGAAUGGG